This is a non-coding RNA of Pelobates cultripes (western spadefoot toad), 213 nucleotides long. NCBI's taxonomy places the organism in Eukaryota, Metazoa, Chordata, Amphibia, Anura, Pelobatidae. The record is from the annotation of a GenBank genome assembly.
CUCUGUAUUUACAACGCUUAAUAAAGCCCAGUCCUCACUACGCAGGGUCUUCCGCUCCCAAACUCAUCGUUUUUCCGGGAGAGCUGGUCGCUUCAGGGGCCGAGCAACCAGUAGAGCAGCCUUUGCAGGCUACAGGCCCCGACCCACAGAUCAUUGGUCCUCUGGACCCACAAGACCCUACCACAGACAGCUCUUCAGCUCCAGAGGCUCUAU